GUAGGUGAACCUGCGGAGGGAUCAUUACCGAGUUUACAACUCCCAAACCCCUGUGAACAUACCUAUUUGUUGCCUCGGCGGUGCCUGUUCCGACAGCCCGCCAGAGGACCCCAAACCCUGAUUACAUUUAAGAAGUCUUCUGAGUAAACCGAUUAAAUAAAUCAAAACUUUCAACAACGGAUCUCUUGGUUCUGGCAUCGAUGAAGAACGCAGCGAAAUGCGAUAAGUAAUGUGAAUUGCAGAAUUCAGUGAAUCAUCGAAUCUUUGAACGCACAUUGCGCCCGCUAGUAUUCUGGCGGGCAUGCCUGUCCGAGCGUCAUUUCAACCCUCAAGCCCCCGGGCUUGGUGUUGGGGAUCGGCGAGCCUCCGCGCCCGCCGUCCCCUAAAUCUAGUGGCGGUCUCGCUGUAGCUUCCUCUGCGUAGUAGCACACCUCGCACUGGGAAACAGCGCGGCCACGCCGUUAAACCCCCAACUUCUGAACGUUUGACCUCGGAUCAGGUAGGAAUACCCGCUGAACUUAAGCAUAUCAAUAAGCGGAG
RNAcentral lists this ribosomal RNA (540 nucleotides) under Neonectria sp. EMA-2011. RNAcentral describes it as "eukaryotic LSU rRNA". The stretch from base 166 to 319 matches the Rfam family "5.8S ribosomal RNA". Lineage: Eukaryota; Fungi; Ascomycota; Sordariomycetes; Hypocreales; Nectriaceae. The record is from RNAcentral.